AGGAGCUUAGGUUAACGUUAGACCAAAAGCCUUCAAAGCUUUAAGUAAGGGUUAAAAUCCCUCAGCCCCUG
RNAcentral lists this transfer RNA (71 nucleotides) under Mullus surmuletus (striped red mullet). RNAcentral describes it as "tRNA-Trp". It matches the Rfam family "tRNA". Rfam says of the family: Transfer RNA (tRNA) molecules are approximately 80 nucleotides in length. Their secondary structure includes four short double-helical elements and three loops (D, anti-codon, and T loops). The record is from RNAcentral. Lineage: Eukaryota; Metazoa; Chordata; Actinopteri; Syngnathiformes; Mullidae.